Centruroides sculpturatus (bark scorpion) is the source of this 1464-nucleotide long non-coding RNA. RefSeq lists it as uncharacterized. Lineage: Eukaryota; Metazoa; Arthropoda; Arachnida; Scorpiones; Buthidae. The record is from RefSeq and is a predicted model, not a curated record. The transcript has 2 exons.
UGAAUGCAAAUUCUCCUGCAUAAUAAUUUUCUGGUAAAGAAUCAGAUUAAAUUGAUUUGGUAAUAAAAAAUUUAAAUAUACUGUAUUGGCCCAAAUAUAAAUUGACUCCCAAUUUUGGAAUACUUACUUUUUGAAAAAAAUGUGACAAUGUAUUUAUUUGCAUACAAAAGAAUUGACUUUUCAAGUUUUUAAAUGCAAAUUGCCAUUGAAACUCAAUCACUGCAUCACUCAUUGUCACCAUUCUUGUGUCCUAUUUCAUAAUUUGAUUCCCAGAUAUUUGUAAAUACAGUCAAGAAAACAGUAUAAAUGAAUUUUUCAUUAGUAUUUUUUAUAGAUUGCAUUUAAAUCUUACCUAACUGAUCAGACUUCAUAUUUUAUACAAAGGAAUGUAAUAUAGAUGUCCAAUGUAUGUAACGAUGACUUUUAUUGUUUUUUUUUUUUUUUUUAACUGAAAUUAGUUUCAAUUUUGUUCUAUAACUUAUUAUAUUUUAUGCAUAUGGUUGUACACUCAGCAUAUGUAUUCGAGAAGUAAGCUUUCUUGCAUAUUUUACUCGUAUUCUGGAAAGUGUGCUGCUGGUUUUAUGACUGUCAAAAAUGAUAUAAAGUUUAUGUAUUUCAUUUUUGCUUAUCUUAUUUUUUCUAGGACUAUCUAAAACAUGUAAAUUAUAAAUUUACACUUUACAACAAAUUUUUAGUACCUUCCCCGAUUUUUGAUGUUCGCUUGAUUAGUGAAGACUCCUAGGAGUAAGAGAAAAGUUACCAAAACUAACUGUUUUUAUAUCAUAAUUUAACAGAAUCAAUCAACUAAUCAAUUAGUAUGAUUGUAAAUAAACACUUAAUUCUUGUGCAUAGUUUAUGGACUGCAGUAGGACAGGUCACAAGUUGGCUGACUUUUGGCAUCACUAAACAAUCGACACCAAAUUUUAGCAUUAGUUUAACUCUAUAAAUAUAUUAACCUGUUAUCUGUGAUACAAAGAUUUUUGUUCUUAUUUCAGUCACUUUCUGAAAUUUCUCAUCUGCUUGCAUAUAAUGUAGAAAUCUAAGAUUAAUUUAUAUAAGUGUAAAGGAUGAAACUAGAUGAUAACUUUAAUUUGUCCCAGAACAGCAUUUAAUGUGUACUAUAUAGCAGUAAUAUAAAAGAUUUUGUAAACAGAAUAAUCUUAACUAAAAAGGUAUGUGAAAGAAUUCGUUCAUGGUGAUUUUGGAAGAACUGUUCCAAAUUUAGGACUGUUAUUAGAAGCCGAAGUAGACAUAAUCGAAUUAGAUGUAGAGAAAAUUGAUUUAGACUGGCCUCCUGUCCUAUGAAAUAAACUUUUCAAGGAUUUCAUCAAAACAUUUAUUGAAAUAUUUUAUAUUAAAUCAUACAUAAAACUUUGACAUUGGAAUGAAUUGAAAAUCACAGUGUCAUUUUAUCAGGUUGUAUAUAUGCAAUAAAAAUAGCUAUAAAAUUUUUUUACAAUUUCA